This 1550-nucleotide ribosomal RNA is filed under the name Klebsiella pneumoniae. RNAcentral's name for it is "bacterial SSU rRNA". It matches the Rfam family "Bacterial small subunit ribosomal RNA". Lineage: Bacteria; Pseudomonadati; Pseudomonadota; Gammaproteobacteria; Enterobacterales; Enterobacteriaceae. The record is from RNAcentral.
AAAUUGAAGAGUUUGAUCAUGGCUCAGAUUGAACGCUGGCGGCAGGCCUAACACAUGCAAGUCGAGCGGUAGCACAGAGAGCUUGCUCUCGGGUGACGAGCGGCGGACGGGUGAGUAAUGUCUGGGAAACUGCCUGAUGGAGGGGGAUAACUACUGGAAACGGUAGCUAAUACCGCAUAAUGUCGCAAGACCAAAGUGGGGGACCUUCGGGCCUCAUGCCAUCAGAUGUGCCCAGAUGGGAUUAGCUAGUAGGUGGGGUAACGGCUCACCUAGGCGACGAUCCCUAGCUGGUCUGAGAGGAUGACCAGCCACACUGGAACUGAGACACGGUCCAGACUCCUACGGGAGGCAGCAGUGGGGAAUAUUGCACAAUGGGCGCAAGCCUGAUGCAGCCAUGCCGCGUGUGUGAAGAAGGCCUUCGGGUUGUAAAGCACUUUCAGCGGGGAGGAAGGCGGUGAGGUUAAUAACCUCAGCGAUUGACGUUACCCGCAGAAGAAGCACCGGCUAACUCCGUGCCAGCAGCCGCGGUAAUACGGAGGGUGCAAGCGUUAAUCGGAAUUACUGGGCGUAAAGCGCACGCAGGCGGUCUGUCAAGUCGGAUGUGAAAUCCCCGGGCUCAACCUGGGAACUGCAUUCGAAACUGGCAGGCUAGAGUCUUGUAGAGGGGGGUAGAAUUCCAGGUGUAGCGGUGAAAUGCGUAGAGAUCUGGAGGAAUACCGGUGGCGAAGGCGGCCCCCUGGACAAAGACUGACGCUCAGGUGCGAAAGCGUGGGGAGCAAACAGGAUUAGAUACCCUGGUAGUCCACGCCGUAAACGAUGUCGAUUUGGAGGUUGUGCCCUUGAGGCGUGGCUUCCGGAGCUAACGCGUUAAAUCGACCGCCUGGGGAGUACGGCCGCAAGGUUAAAACUCAAAUGAAUUGACGGGGGCCCGCACAAGCGGUGGAGCAUGUGGUUUAAUUCGAUGCAACGCGAAGAACCUUACCUGGUCUUGACAUCCACAGAACUUUCCAGAGAUGGAUUGGUGCCUUCGGGAACUGUGAGACAGGUGCUGCAUGGCUGUCGUCAGCUCGUGUUGUGAAAUGUUGGGUUAAGUCCCGCAACGAGCGCAACCCUUAUCCUUUGUUGCCAGCGGUUCGGCCGGGAACUCAAAGGAGACUGCCAGUGAUAAACUGGAGGAAGGUGGGGAUGACGUCAAGUCAUCAUGGCCCUUACGACCAGGGCUACACACGUGCUACAAUGGCAUAUACAAAGAGAAGCGACCUCGCGAGAGCAAGCGGACCUCAUAAAGUAUGUCGUAGUCCGGAUUGGAGUCUGCAACUCGACUCCAUGAAGUCGGAAUCGCUAGUAAUCGUAGAUCAGAAUGCUACGGUGAAUACGUUCCCGGGCCUUGUACACACCGCCCGUCACACCAUGGGAGUGGGUUGCAAAAGAAGUAGGUAGCUUAACCUUCGGGAGGGCGCUUACCACUUUGUGAUUCAUGACUGGGGUGAAGUCGUAACAAGGUAACCGUAGGGGAACCUGCGGUUGGAUCACCUCCUUACCUUAAAGAA